Molecule: transfer RNA, 73 nt
Filed under: Parachiloglanis hodgarti
Lineage: Eukaryota; Metazoa; Chordata; Actinopteri; Siluriformes; Sisoridae
Description: tRNA-Ile
Rfam family: tRNA
About the family: Transfer RNA (tRNA) molecules are approximately 80 nucleotides in length. Their secondary structure includes four short double-helical elements and three loops (D, anti-codon, and T loops).
Source: RNAcentral
GGAGUUGUGCCCGAAUGCCUAAAGGACCACUUUGAUAGAGUGACUAAUGAAGGCUAAAAUCCUUCCAACUCCU